Molecule: unclassified non-coding RNA, 418 nt
Filed under: rhizosphere metagenome
Description: partial ribosomal RNA internal transcribed spacer region
Source: RNAcentral
GUAGGUGAACCUGCGGAAGGAUCAUUAACACGUUCUCCACGUUUAUAUCCACUUCUCUAACAAACCACCACGAACUGUGCUCCCUGUCGACCAACUUGUCAGCUGCUCCUCCUAGGUCUAUUGGGUACCUUGUCUGGCUUAACGCCGUUAGCGACUCCAUGGCGGGUACACCUAGCACGGGCUUGUCGGUCUUCGAGACCGAGGCUGGCAGACCGGUUCGUCAGGCUUAUUUUAAUCAACCUGCCUCUCUUUCCAACUAGAGAGGGGUGGCGCGAUGACCCCAAACCACCAAUUUCACCCUAUUUUACCUAUUUGACUAAUUACCUCAAGUUCGUCGAGAGAAAUCUCGGUUCAUACGAACUGAAUUAAGAUUUAUCUUAACUAAGCACAACUCUUAGCAAUGGAUAUCUUGGUUCUC